Pelobates cultripes (western spadefoot toad) is the source of this 230-nucleotide non-coding RNA. The record is from the annotation of a GenBank genome assembly. NCBI's taxonomy places the organism in Eukaryota, Metazoa, Chordata, Amphibia, Anura, Pelobatidae.
GUUUGAAAACCUCUCACUCCCUGCACAGUGAAAUGACAUCACCGGACCAACUAACCGACAAUCCAAACACUGUCUGACCUAAGGUAACUGUAUACGGCUGAAUUAUACUGUCAUAUACUAAGGACAGGAAUGAGUUUUUCUAAUUUUUAUACAUAUACUUCAUUUAACACAGGCUCUAUUUCCUUUCAGAACAUGAUGGAAGGAUGAUUAUAUUAAAAACUAAUGUUAAG